This 429-nucleotide ribosomal RNA is filed under the name Pseudomonadota bacterium. Its description in RNAcentral is "Proteobacteria bacterium partial 16S ribosomal RNA". It matches the Rfam family "Bacterial small subunit ribosomal RNA", at positions 355 to 776 of the family's 1533-position model. Lineage: Bacteria; Pseudomonadati; Pseudomonadota. The record is from RNAcentral.
UGGGGAAUAUUGGACAAUGGGCGAAAGCCUGAUCCAGCCAUGCCGCGUGUGUGAAGAAGGUCUUCGGAUUGUAAAGCACUUUAAGUUGGGAGGAAGGGCAGUAAGCGAAUACCUUGCUGUUUUGACGUUACCGACAGAAUAAGCACCGGCUAACUCUGUGCCAGCAGCCGCGGUAAUACAGAGGGUGCAAGCGUUAAUCGGAAUUACUGGGCGUAAAGCGCGCGUAGGUGGUUCGUUAAGUUGAAUGUGAAAGCCCCGGGCUCAACCUGGGAACUGCAUCCAAAACUGGCGAGCUAGAGUAGGGCAGAGGGUGGUGGAAUUUCCUGUGUAGCGGUGAAAUGCGUAGAUAUAGGAAGGAACACCAGGGGCGAAGGCGACCACCUGGGCUCAUACUGACACUGAGGUGCGAAAACGUGGGGAGCAAACAGG